Molecule: ribosomal RNA, 3702 nt
Filed under: Triticum aestivum (bread wheat)
Lineage: Eukaryota; Viridiplantae; Streptophyta; Magnoliopsida; Poales; Poaceae
Source: RNAcentral
CGCCGAUCCGUUGGCAUCAGGUAAGGACCGGAUCCGCCGUCGGCGUCGGCGGCAUCCGAACCCGGCGAGUUACGCUUCCGCUGCUUCUUCUCCACGCUAUGCGCCCGUUUAUUUGCCUACUUUUGUUUACUUGCUGCGAGAUUCAGAUUGCAUCUCCCGUAUUUGAUCUGUUCUCGAGAGCAUCCGUGAUGUUACAUCCACUUAACUCAUCCUUGCACUUUGAGUUGCGACAGUGAAGAAAAACAUUGGGGAAUAUGUAGUCUGAGAUGCUCUCAUGUUCUUCCUUUUGCUUAGAUCUGUUUGCCUUUUUCCCCCGUGGAUCUGCGUUGCUUCUAGUCGUGGGUCGAUGAUGUUAUUGUUUACUGCGUUAUCUUUCUCGAACUUCUCAAGUAAUGAGGAAAGCAUUGCCUACUGAGAUCCAAUCACGCUUAAAGAUCUGUUUUGUAGGAUUAAUUCGACAGUUAAUCCGAUUUUUAUUUCUCUUUGGGCAAUAUACUAGUAGUUGUUUACUUUUGUUUAUUUUGUUAUAUUUUUUAUGUUUCUUUUAAUUUUCUGUGCUUCGUCAUCUGGUCAUUGGGAGGAUCAGUCUCUGAUCGGUUUCCACUGGACUCGUUCCCUUGAAGCAACAUUAACCUGUUGUAUCCUGAGCUACAUACUGUUGUGCCCUGGGAUGUUCCUCUCCAAAGGGCACCGUGGCUCUUACAUACAUAUCCUAAUUAUAAUUAUUCUGGCACUCCACUCUGUUUAAUUGAUUGAAUCAUUAAUUAUGGCCCUAGACCCAUCAAAGCAAGCAAGCAUCUAGUUCAAUCUUUGUGACCCAACCUGUUGGCAUACAAAAUCGUUGAUAUUCAGUUCUUGCUCUUUGUGAUAAUGUUUUUUUAGCAAUUUGACUAUCAAAUUGCCUGAGUAAACAAGAACUUUGCUAUUGACUGCUGCUCUUAGGUUUCAUGUUUUUUUUUAGUUUCUGAUUUGAGUUAUUAAGAUGGAAGCGAGGAUCCUUUCCCCAGCUGAUCGACUAUGAUUAUACUGUGCUCAAAUGUAAUCCUUUAUCAGAGGAUUCCAAGCCAGAAAUCUGAUCCAUCCACUUGAAAAAUAUCGCAUGUUUUCGUUAGGGUCCUUUGUCUAGUAUAUUCAUUGGUACAUUUCAGUUGGAAAGUUCAGUGUCAUACUAGUUUGACUAAUAUUGUGGUAUGCAUGUGAUGAGAAACCAUAUGCAACUCACGACGGUCGUCUGAGACACUUUGUGUGUAAUGGUGCAUUCAUAUGUUCUCUGAUGCCUUGUCUAUUUCUUCAGUUUGUGUGUGAUUUGGGUUCUCCCCUGGCUUCUAUUUGUAGGAAGUGCCACAUCUUUGUUCUCGUUUGUCUUCACUGGCAUUUAUUUGCCUUGCCAACCAUCCUCCUAUAUCACCAGGACGCCACCAUAUUCCGAGUUCUCUUUUUAUAUAUUAUCAGUUGAAAUUCGUUUAGACUGAAAUAAUCUUGUAGAGUACAAGAGGAACAUAGUUAACAGAUCUUUGUUGUAGUUAUGAGGAUGAUGAUUUCAAAUUUGUCGCCCCAGUCUUAGGGUCCACUUAGGUGGAUCUGUGCUGAUGGACAUAUUACUAAAUCUGACUCGGCAAAUCUAAGUUUGAACAGUUAGUUUUUUCUUUUACUUAAUUUCCUCAUGAUGGCAGUGACGAUAUGCAAAUAUUCAAGCUCAACAGACCAAAUCACAGGUUUUCUCUCAGGAGUUGAUUUGUAUGCCGAUUAACCCGCUGAACCGAGCCAUCUGUAUCCUUUAUGUUCAAUGUGCUGUUCAUUGUUUGUUUCCUUUGGAGAGUGUAGUUGCCAUGAGGAUAAAAAGCUCCCUCUUCUGAAAGCAUUGACGACAUUGCUGGCAGAAUCGAACCAAUUAAACAUUGCCACCACUGAGCAACUACAUCUUCACUGGCCAUUAAUUUUGCCUUUCAAUUAAGACAUUCUUUUUGCAUUGUGAGGAGGUAUUGAUGCAUAAUCCAACACUUGAUCCAAGGGGUGACAUGAGCUGCCUGUGUGAUGUCAACUUUGCAAGUGAAUCCGGAGAUCAGUUUUUUAUUAUUUAUUGUCUUCUUGAUUUUUCAGUGUCGAAACCCUAAUCAAUCUUAGGGCACCUUCUGACACAGUGCCUAUUUUGAUGAUACGCUAUGUUUUCUUACCAUCUUAGUUUGGUGGUAUUGGCUGGUGAGCUGUGUUUUCUUUUACACUAGUGACGUAUAAUUUAAUUAAAGCCCAUGAUGAUUAGCUUUAUGUUGGAAUUACCGUCUGAUCCGAAUGAUGAUAUUUUUGCGGCUUUCUGAGGCAUAAACCAAGAGCUUAAGAUAUUAUUUAUUUAAUAAUAUUGUUAAUUUUGUUCAACUUAAAUUAUCCCAGUGAAAAUUCUUAGACCAGGAAUGCCGUAUGACACUGUAAACAACAGCUGUAACUCACCACUGCACAUGUCUUCCUUUGGCUAUAACCUUUGUGGUUUGGUCAGGGCUGGAUGUCCAUUUGUACCUGGUUUGGUUCAUCUGUGUGCUUGAUUUUAAAUCGGUCUCAUAUUGUUUCAUAUUGUUUGCUCUGUUUUUUGUGUGUUGAUAGCAACCUGAGUCUGUAUUUUGGUUGGUAUACACUCUCCAGAGCUGGUUAUUGUGGUUGAUAUAUUUUUGUAGUGGCUGGUUGGUAUACACUCACCAGAGCUGGUUAUUGUGGUUGAUAUAGUUUUGUAACAAGUUCUAGUCAAUAUGAUUUGAUCAGUUUUGGGGAUAUGGUGAUGAUGAUAAAUUUAAGGCUUGUUUCUCAAAACAUUCGCAGAUGCCGCCUAAGAGCUUUCGCCCAGCCAGGCUUGAGAGCUAAUGCUGCUAAUUCCUUCCUUGGAUGUCUGAGCCUUAUUAAUAUCCUCAUACUUUGUUAUCUUUAAUUUGAUGUUCUCAUCUUGUUAUAGGGGGAGCACUGUUUCAAUGUUUGGCUGCUGUUCUUUCAUCCGAGUUUACAUCGCUCUUGAGAUGUAUUCAGGUGGCGCUUGGAGCACAAAUCCGUCCAGAUGGAUCUUGGGUUACGCUCGCCCCCAAAUUCAAGUUUAAUCUCUGUUUCUGUUUUUGUUGCAUUAUGUUCUGUAAUUAUAGCUUUUGUGGGACUGCUGAUUGGUGAAUUGAGCCUUUUUCGGUGCAGUGAUUAUAAAACAUUCACUGACGGGAAAUCCCUGAGAACGACAAUACACCCAUAGAAUCUGCGUUUGGAGAUUGAACUAUAUUUCUGGUUUCAUUUUUGAUGGAAACUUGCUUUUUCAUUUACAGUUAAAACUCAGCUUAGAUGCCUACCACAUUUCAGGUAGAAACUCUGUAGCACCGUUCAGUUUUGUGGACUGUAUCACGACCUGAGACAGUACAACUGGAGGAUCAUUACAAACUCACUGCUAGAGUACUUAUCCGUGAGUGACAUUGCUCUGUUUUGAAGCAUUCAUUGUGAAAUAGAGAUGAUGUAAUGAUAUUGUUGCAAUUUCUGGUUUAGUGAUUCGUUAUCUAUGAUGAUAAUAAAUUUCAGUACUUAAGUUCUUAUUUCACAAUCAAUGUAAGAGCUGGUAUUGACUUCGAAGUACUAUCUCAGAUUUUUAUGCAGACAAAUAUAGAAUGUACAUCACCGUUCACCAUAACUGAGAUUGUAUAUGAAUAUUCUCAAUUCAAGAGCUGAUCAUUUAUGCUUGUCAAA